RNAcentral lists this ribosomal RNA (426 nucleotides) under uncultured bacterium. RNAcentral's name for it is "bacterial SSU rRNA". It matches the Rfam family "Bacterial small subunit ribosomal RNA", at positions 354 to 796 of the family's 1533-position model. The record is from RNAcentral.
GUGAGGAAUUUUCCGCAAUGGGCGAAAGCCUGACGGAGCAAUGCCGCGUGAAGGAUGAAGGCCUAUGGGUUGUAAACUUCUUUUCUCAGAAAAGAAUUAUGACGGUAUCUGAGGAAUAAGCAUCGGCUAACUCUGUGCCAGCAGCCGCGGUAAGACAGAGGAUGCAAGCGUUAUCCGGAAUGAUUAGGCGUAAAGCGUCUGUAGGUUGUUUAAAAAGUAUUCUGUCAAAGAUUAGGGCUUAACCCUAGAUAGGCAGAAUAAACUUUUAAGCUAGAGUUUGGUAGAGGCAGAGGGAAUUCCCGGUGGAGCGGUGAAAUGCGUAGAUAUCGGGAGGAACACCAAAGGCGAAGGCACUCUGCUGGGCCAAUACUAACACUGAGAGACGAAAGCGAGGGGAGCAAAUGGGAUUAGAAACCCUUGUAGUCC